GACUUUCCAAAGAACCCUUAAGUUUCCACGGCAAGUACUAGGCAUGGCCCCAGGCUGCGGAGGGAGACACAGGAGGACCUCUAGAGCUUGCUGCUCAGCCAGGCUACUCACGACGGACAACAAUCUCAACAGCCCAGUGGCCAGUCAAGAUCAACAUGCCAGGACCACACACCAAGAGAAGCACAGAAUCUCUCUGGACUUGGCACCUGCGGGUUUGCACACAUGACUGCGCUUUGGAGGCCACAGAGCCAUCUUGAGCAUCACGGGUGCUGCCUUACAGUCUCCCCUCAGUACUGUUGUGUGAGCCCCAGCCGGGGUUUUCACUCUAGCUUCUGUUACAUUGUUUCCUGUUACAUUGUUUCCCGUUACAUUGUCUCUUGGUGCUUUUUGCCUCUCAUCCUUUGUUGGCACCAGCGAGUUGCUUUCUACAUUUGUGCUGUCCAGUGGAGCAAUUAAAAGACGCUUGCAA
RNAcentral lists this long non-coding RNA (469 nucleotides) under Mus musculus (house mouse). RNAcentral describes it as "predicted gene, 48591". Lineage: Eukaryota; Metazoa; Chordata; Mammalia; Rodentia; Muridae. The record is from RNAcentral.